This 261-nucleotide long non-coding RNA is filed under the name Ananas comosus (pineapple). Its description in RNAcentral is "long non-coding RNA (ACOM_LNC039207)". Lineage: Eukaryota; Viridiplantae; Streptophyta; Magnoliopsida; Poales; Bromeliaceae. The record is from RNAcentral.
CGAAAUUGUGAAUUAGCAUAAAGGGAAGAGUAGUGGAAGUGGGUGGAUUUUGAUGUUUUGCUCACCAAAUACCUUUAGAAAAGGGCAUAUGGUGGUUCAGAGAGUGUAGAAAAGAACAAGCGAGUAAAUCUGAGGACUCUGUUUUGUUUCCUCUCUCUGGUUCAAGAGGAGAGUAAUAAAAUAAUAUGAAUUACAAAGUUGAAAUAAUUAGAAGCUUUCGUGAAAAUAAACUGGCAUACAAUAUUUCAGAUGUAAUGAAAA